AAGCAAAUAAUUCCCCUUCUGCUUUCUUCCGUACUGUUUUCAUAUAUCGCUCCCCUAACCAACUUAGUGACGAAACGGCCUCACCUAGUACCAUAGACCCGUCUUGAUACACACUAGGCAACUGGCAACUUUGGUCGGACCAACUUUUUCGAUUCAACUCAGCAUGUCGAGUCGCGCGCGAUUUGUGUCGGCAACCUUUUCGUUCAAUUGCUGUUGACGUUUUGAUUUCUGCGUUCAUUGAAUUUCAAUAUCUGUCAGUGGUGAUGCAAAACAGUGUUUACAAUAUUGGCGCAUCUGUUUCUAUGAACGAACGAGAUGAAAUGCCAUCAAUAUGCAAGUUCUCUUGAUAUACCGUCCGGGAAGAGUGCUGAAUUGGUCAAGGAUGCGUAUAAUAUUGGAGAUUGAGCAAGAAGCGCAGAAUCCGCUGGAUGUGUUUUUUCCAAGUUAACAGCAAUUGUUGCUAUCUGUUGUUAUCAGCGAGCCGAAAUAAGUAUGUUAGAUAGCCUAAGAUUGGAUAAUUCUGGUCAGAUUUCCCGGGAAACCGUUAUCAUCCCUGAUUCUCGAUUGUACCAUGUGCGAAGGUGCGGUCUGCGAAUAUGUGACCCCUAGGAGAAUUUUUCAUAUUUAGCGUUAGUGUAUACAUAAAUCAUUCUUUAGAAGAAUUGUUGAAAAUUUUUCUGUUUUCUUUAUAUAAUUCUUUUCGGCUGUAUUCUUAUUUCAAUGAUUUUUUUAUGUUUGUAAUUAUUGUUUGCUGGUUUGUGGUAUUACUCCAACGAAAAAUAAAUAUAUACAUCAAUUUUUUAGAAA
Molecule: long non-coding RNA, 807 nt
Organism: Toxorhynchites rutilus septentrionalis
Lineage: Eukaryota; Metazoa; Arthropoda; Insecta; Diptera; Culicidae
Exons: 3
Source: RefSeq, a predicted model, not a curated record